CAGCAGCCGCGGGAAUACGGAGGGUGCAAGCGUUACCCGGAUUUAUUGGGUUUAAAGGGUCCGUAGGCGGAUCUGUAAGUCAGUGGUGAAAUCUCACAGCUUAACUGUGAAACUGCCAUUGAUACUGCAGGUCUUGAGUAAAUUUGAAGUGGCUGGAAUAAGUAGUGUAGCGGUGAAAUGCAUAGAUAUUACUUAGAACACCAAUUGCGAAGGCAGGUCACUAAGAUUUAACUGACGCUGAUGGACGAAAGCGUGGGGAGCGAACAGGAUUAGAUACCCCCGUAGUCCCUGUCUCUUAUAA
RNAcentral lists this ribosomal RNA (301 nucleotides) under uncultured bacterium. RNAcentral's name for it is "partial 16S ribosomal RNA". It matches the Rfam family "Bacterial small subunit ribosomal RNA", at positions 509 to 809 of the family's 1533-position model. The record is from RNAcentral.